GUUGUGGCAGCUCGGUGCGGAGCUCGAGGUGGAAGUGGGAGAAGGCCAAAUUAGGCAUGGGAGGCCAUCGAUUUAUAGAAAGGGGGUCUAGGGUUAAGUUUGAGGGGGGUUGGGGCGUUUUCGAGCCCUUCGAUCUCGAUCGGACGGCUCCGAUUGUGCCCUAGGGUUAGAUAUACUUAGGUGGGCUGGUUGGGCUGUGUGGGGGAAGAUUGUGGAUUGAGAUGAGAGGGAAGUUUGCGGCCCGACACAAAGUUUGUAAAACCGAAGAACGUCCGACGAAUAAAUCGAU
RNAcentral lists this long non-coding RNA (289 nucleotides) under Hordeum vulgare. RNAcentral's name for it is "long non-coding RNA (HVUL_LNC010392)". Lineage: Eukaryota; Viridiplantae; Streptophyta; Magnoliopsida; Poales; Poaceae. The record is from RNAcentral.